GUUUUGCACGAGAAGUACGAGACUCUCCUUGAGAAGAACACUAGGCUGGAGCAGCAGGUGGCUGCUCUGUCCACUUCUUUCCUGUCUCUCAAGGAGGGCAUGCAGUUUCUGAAUGAUGGGGAGUAGCAGCAGUCACGGAUCAUGGGGCCAGAGCCACGUCUUCUCAUGUGUGCCAAAGAGUGUCGUCAAGCUGACACGCACGAGAGCAAUGGUGUAGCCGACCGGCUCGCAGCCGUUGAUGGCGACGUCGGGAAGUGCAGCGAGUGGCCGGACGAGGCGCAGCCCUCAUCGCCACGGAUCCCGACGGCGGCGAGAGUUGCGUCCAUGGACAACGACCACGAGUGCGUGAUGAACCGACCGGCGACCGAAACGCACCAACGAGUGGCUCACCGCCGUUCCACCAACCAACUCCCUGGUACCUUCUCUCACUGUCGCGGCCACCUGCCACCAACGGAAGGCACGGCCGGCAGCAUGCUGCCCGACCAUGGUCUCCUCCCAUAAUUUGUGCAUUUCAUCUCUGGUUGUCCUAUUUUUUGUAUUUCGAUUAUGGACAGAGAAGGAGAAUGGCAGGCACAUUUUUAUCUGAAAUUCCGUCUGAAGAUGUUGAAGCUACCUAUGGUUGUUAAUUUUGAACCGUAUGUCUCUCGAUUUCUUUUUCUAUUUGUGCACCUGUUCGACAUAGGAGUUCAUGGGAUUUGUGGAAUUCAUGGGAAAAUACUAGGAGUUCUCAAUGACUCUAGAAUGGUAUAUUCUAUUUCAUGACUCUGAAAUUGUACUAUGGAAUUUUCCUAUUUCAACAAAUGUUCACACCCAAUUCACUUCUUAACCCUUAGAGAAAUUAAGUUAAGCAGAACCAAGCUAACGAUGGGUUUGCGUGGUGGUGCAGAAGGACGACGACGAGGGCCAGGAAGGCGCUAGACCAGCCGAAGGAGCUCGGGUGGGCCAAGUGGUGGAGUUGGCAAUCCUAUAUGUAAUUUUUACUUUGUCUAUACGCCAACUUCAAACAUGUUUUUUUGAAGUUCUAUUA
Molecule: long non-coding RNA, 1027 nt
Organism: Hordeum vulgare subsp. vulgare (domesticated barley)
Lineage: Eukaryota; Viridiplantae; Streptophyta; Magnoliopsida; Poales; Poaceae
Exons: 2
Source: RefSeq, a predicted model, not a curated record